This 63-nucleotide transfer RNA is filed under the name Erpobdella sp. JP-2021. RNAcentral describes it as "tRNA-Glu". The record is from RNAcentral. Lineage: Eukaryota; Metazoa; Annelida; Clitellata; Hirudinida; Erpobdellidae.
UUACAUAUGGUGUAAAGCCAACACAUUAGAUUUUCAUGCUAAAUAUACAAAAAAUUGUUAUGU